GCGAUUAUAGUUCAAAGGUAGAACAGUAGAUUGUGGAUCUAUUUAUCAAGGUUCAAUUCCUUGUAUUCGCC
RNAcentral lists this transfer RNA (71 nucleotides) under Modicella reniformis. It matches the Rfam family "tRNA". Rfam says of the family: Transfer RNA (tRNA) molecules are approximately 80 nucleotides in length. Lineage: Eukaryota; Fungi; Mortierellomycota; Mortierellomycetes; Mortierellales; Mortierellaceae. The record is from Rfam by way of RNAcentral.